This 831-nucleotide long non-coding RNA is filed under the name Homo sapiens (human). RNAcentral's name for it is "HSALNT0303695". The record is from RNAcentral. Lineage: Eukaryota; Metazoa; Chordata; Mammalia; Primates; Hominidae.
AAAGCAGAAGCAAGCAUGAUCUCCUCAAUCAAGCAGCUUUGAGUCUCAUGGGAGAUACAGAUACAAAAUUAUUACAGCACAAGGACACAAGAUAUGGAUGUGACAGUUGGCACUACAGGUCUCUCCAAAAGUAGGAAGUGCAAGGGCACAUGUGGAGCUGCCUAAAGUUUGCACAGAGAUAUUGCUCCAGAAACAGAAACCACACAGAAUUCCGCAGGCAUCUGAGCCUGGAGCAGCCUCAGCUGGGUGCCAUUUUGACCCCAGAUACUGGAGAUUUACAGACAUGGUUGCAGCCAUUGCACUGCUCCAAGGAGAGAGAAAGGAAAAUGGGUGCACUCAUGCACACUCAGGCAGGGACUUGCUCCCCUGCUACAAUCAUCUGUUGAGACUGAGACUCAAGUGGACCACACUUCCCACAGCUUCUUGCUCAUGCUGCCAGCCUGGGUGGUCCCUGGCUCUCUCUGGUCCCAAGCCCAAGGCUCUAUUUUGAGAGUUUAACUCUGGACUGUCCCCUAUCUUCAGCCUGAGCUCAGGCUGAUGCAGCUGCAACCACUGCCUGGCUAAGGAGGGACAGGGAGACCAGGUCAUCCUACUCAUAUCUAGGACGAUACUCACUGCUCUGCAACAGGCUGCUGUGAAACUGGCUGACAUGUGAGUGAACCACACUCCCCACAGCUUCUUGCCCAUACUGCUUGCCGGAGCAUUGCCCCAUUCUCCCUGGAUGUAAGCCCAAGGCAUCCUUUUGAGAGUUUAAUUCUAAGCUGCAUCUCACCAUCGCCAUGAGUAAACUAUGCAUUGGACCAAGGACUAAUAUCCAGAAUCUAUAAAGAA